RNAcentral lists this long non-coding RNA (317 nucleotides) under Musa acuminata (dwarf banana). RNAcentral's name for it is "long non-coding RNA (MACU_LNC003360)". Lineage: Eukaryota; Viridiplantae; Streptophyta; Magnoliopsida; Zingiberales; Musaceae. The record is from RNAcentral.
GGCCCAUCCACGCCCGAGGCGCUGAAAUGUGCGGCCUGCGGCUGCCACCGGAGCUUCCACCGCAAAGACGGCGACACCGAUGUCAAUGCCGACAACUCCUAUCACCACCACCACCAUGGUGCCUCUCAUCUUCCUCUCUUGCUCCCGCCUCCCCACCCGCAGUCCCACCCCUACAACCAGCAGAAGCCGUUCCCCUUCGGCUUCCCCUCGAGCCCGCCGUCGCGGGCGGUCCCGCUAUCCUCGGCGGUCAUGGCGUUCGGCGGCAACACGUGCGGGAGCGGAGGGACCACGACGGAGUCGUCGAGCGAGGAGCGGAU